Small nuclear RNA from Lutra lutra (Eurasian river otter), 145 nucleotides. RefSeq annotates it as U4 spliceosomal RNA. The transcript has a single exon. Lineage: Eukaryota; Metazoa; Chordata; Mammalia; Carnivora; Mustelidae. The record is from RefSeq and is a predicted model, not a curated record.
UUUAUAGCUCAGUGGCAGCAUCGUAGCCAAUGAGGUUUAUCCGAGGCACGAUUAUUGCUAAUUGAAAACUUUUCUCAUGUUUUAGAUUUAAAAACUAGCCACUUACAGAGCUUUUUGACUCAUGAGUUUUGAUCAAAUCUCUUUG